RNAcentral lists this ribosomal RNA (468 nucleotides) under uncultured bacterium. RNAcentral describes it as "partial 16S ribosomal RNA". It matches the Rfam family "Bacterial small subunit ribosomal RNA", at positions 28 to 507 of the family's 1533-position model. The record is from RNAcentral.
GACGAACGCUGGCGGCGUGCUUAACACAUGCAAGUCGAACGGAAAGGCCCUGCUUUUGUGGGGUGCUCGAGUGGCGAACGGGUGAGUAACACGUGAGUAACCUGCCUUUGACUUUGGGAUAACUUCAGGAAACUGGGGCUAAUACCGGAUAGGAGCUCCUGCUGCAUGGUGGGGGUUGGAAAGUUUCGGCGGUUGGGGAUGGACUCGCGGCUUAUCAGCUUGUUGGUGGGGUAGUGGCUUACCAAGGCUUUGACGGGUAGCCGGCCUGAGAGGGUGACCGGCCACAUUGGGACUAAGAUACGGCCCAGACUCCUACGGGAGGCAGCAGUGGGGAGUAUUGCACAAUGGGCGGAAGCCUGAUGCAGCAACGCCGCGUGCGGGAUGACGGCCUUCGGGUUGUAAACCGCUUUCGCCUGUGACGAAGCGUGGGUGACGGUAAUGGGUAAAGAAGCACCGGCUAACUACGUG